Molecule: long non-coding RNA, 218 nt
Filed under: Setaria viridis
Lineage: Eukaryota; Viridiplantae; Streptophyta; Magnoliopsida; Poales; Poaceae
Description: long non-coding RNA (SVIR_LNC010968)
Source: RNAcentral
UAUAGGAAAAAAAUAGAGUAAAAUGUGUUUUUAAUAUUUAGUCAUUGCAAUAAAUUAAGAUAAAUAAAUUGUAGGUGUAAGAAAUAGAAUUUGGUCAUUGCUACAAUUUUGCAUGUCACUGUAAUUUAACAAUAAUUGUAUUUCUUUGACCAAUAAUUUAUUUAUCGCAUGUUUAUUGCAAGAACUAAAUAUUAUAAACACAUUUACUCUAUUUUUCC